Hippocampus zosterae (dwarf seahorse) is the source of this 300-nucleotide long non-coding RNA. RefSeq lists it as uncharacterized. The record is from RefSeq and is a predicted model, not a curated record. Lineage: Eukaryota; Metazoa; Chordata; Actinopteri; Syngnathiformes; Syngnathidae. The transcript is spliced from 3 exons.
AGGACUGCUGGCUGAAGGUGCAAAACCAACUUCCCCCGUUGCCCCAAGUACACCGGCAGCACAUAGUCUCGCUCUUCGAUGACAUCUGUCAACUCCGGGUUCCGUCCAGGCGGAGAAACGCCGACUGGAGGACUUUUGUGAUCAUCACCGGCUGAGGUGGAGAUCCUCGGACGACGAGAGAGCUGAGCCUGCGUCCGGCCAGGGAGGAUCUGCGGAUGCCACGGAUCGCCUCGGGACGCAUGACUCCAUUUGAAUCGCUCUCGUUUUGUCAAUAAAAGUGCAUCAGCGAUUGCCCGAGUC